GAUGAAGAACGUAGCGAAAUGCGAUAAGUAAUGUGAAUUGCAGAAUUCAGUGAAUCAUCGAAUCUUUGAACGCACAUUGCGCCCCCUGGUAUUCCGGGGGGCAUGCCUGUCCGAGCGUCAUUACAACCCUCAAGCUCAGCUUGGUGUUGGGCCCCGCCGCGCCGGCGGGCCCUAAAGUCAGUGGCGGUGCCGUCCGGCUCCGAGCGUAGUAAUUCUUCUCGCUCUGGAGGUCCGGUCGUGUGCUCGCCAGCAACCCCCAAUUUUUUUCAGGUUGACCUCGGAUCAGGUAGGGAUACCCGCUGAACUUAAGCAUAUCAAUAAGCGGAGGA
This 329-nucleotide unclassified non-coding RNA is filed under the name soil metagenome. Its description in RNAcentral is "partial contains 5.8S ribosomal RNA, internal transcribed spacer 2, and large subunit ribosomal RNA". The stretch from base 1 to 120 matches the Rfam family "5.8S ribosomal RNA", at positions 35 to 154 of the family's 154-position model. The record is from RNAcentral.